UCGGGAAUUUUGGGCAAUGGGCGAAAGCCUGACCCAGCAACGCCGCGUGAGGGAUGAAGUAUUUCGGUAUGUAAACCUCGAAAGAAUGGGAAGAAUAAAUGACGGUACCAUUUAUAAGCUCCGGCUAACUACGUGCCAGCAGCCGCGGUAAUACGUAGGGAGCAAGCGUUGUUCGGAUUUACUGGGCGUAAAGGGCGCGUAGGCGGCGCGGUAAGUCACUUGUGAAAUCUCUGAGCUUAACUCAGAACGGCCAAGUGAUACUGCUGUGCUGGAGUGCGGAGGAGGAAACCGGAAUUCUUGGUGUAGCGGUAAAAUGCGUAGAUAUCAAGAGGAACACCUGAGGCGAAGGCGGGUUGCUGGGCCGACACUGACGCUGAUGCGCGAAAGCCAGGG
This 393-nucleotide ribosomal RNA is filed under the name uncultured bacterium. Its description in RNAcentral is "bacterial SSU rRNA". It matches the Rfam family "Bacterial small subunit ribosomal RNA", at positions 355 to 765 of the family's 1533-position model. The record is from RNAcentral.